UUUAAACGUAGUCAUGAUUUUUCGUAUCCAACUUUGAUCGUCCGUCUUAUUUGAAAUGUUUUUAUGAUUAGUAUUUUUAUUGUUAUUAGAUAAUAAAACAUGAAUAGUACUUUAUGUGUGGCUUAUGUUUUUAAUUUUUUUCAAUUUUUUUAAAUAAAACGAACUGUUAAAAUUAUACACGAAAACUUAUGGCUAUACUUAAA
This is a non-coding RNA of Oryza nivara, 203 nucleotides long. Lineage: Eukaryota; Viridiplantae; Streptophyta; Magnoliopsida; Poales; Poaceae. The record is from Rfam.